RNAcentral lists this ribosomal RNA (305 nucleotides) under uncultured bacterium. RNAcentral describes it as "bacterial SSU rRNA". It matches the Rfam family "Bacterial small subunit ribosomal RNA", at positions 334 to 653 of the family's 1533-position model. The record is from RNAcentral.
CUGUCCUACGGGACGCAGCAGUGGGGAAUAUUGGACAAUGGGGGGAACCCUGAUCCAGCGACGCCGCGUGAGUGAAGAAGUAUUUCGGUAUGUAAAGCUCUAUCAGCAGGGAAGAAAGAAAUGACGGUACCUGACUAAGAAGCCCCGGCUAACUACGUGCCAGCAGCCGCGGUAAUACGUAGGGGGCAAGCGUUAUCCGGAUUUACUGGGUGUAAAGGGAGCGUAGACGGCAAUGCAAGUCUGGAGUGAAAGGCGGGGGCCCAACCCCCGGACUGCUCUGGAAACUGUAUAGCUGGAGUGCAGGG